GCCGGGCGCAGUGGCGCGUGCCUGUAGUCCCAGCUACUCGGGAGGCUGAGGUGGGAGGAUGCUUGAGCCCAGGAGUUCUGGGCUGCAGUGCGCUAUGCCGAUUGGGUGUCUGUACUAAGUUCGGCAUCAAUAUGGUGACCUCCCGGGAGUGGGGGACCACCAGGUUGCCUAAGGAGGGGUAAACCGGCCCAGGUUGGAAACGGAGCAGAUCAAAACUCCCGUGCUGAUCAGUAGUGGGAUCGCGCCUGUGAAUAGUUACUGCAUUCCAGCCUGGGUAACAUAGCCAGACCUCGUCUCU
RNAcentral lists this signal recognition particle RNA (298 nucleotides) under Saimiri boliviensis boliviensis (Bolivian squirrel monkey). Its description in RNAcentral is "Metazoan signal recognition particle RNA (ENSSBOG00000003423.1)". It matches the Rfam family "Metazoan signal recognition particle RNA". From Rfam's summary of the family: The signal recognition particle (SRP) is a universally conserved ribonucleoprotein. It is involved in the co-translational targeting of proteins to membranes. The eukaryotic SRP consists of a 300-nucleotide 7S RNA and six proteins: SRPs 72, 68, 54, 19, 14, and 9. Lineage: Eukaryota; Metazoa; Chordata; Mammalia; Primates; Cebidae. The record is from RNAcentral.